CUUUUACAGAAGAAUGACAAUUCAAAAAAAACGCCACUUAUGCUAAUGGAUCAAAAUAUCUCCACCCUUGUUUCUAAAAAGAAUUAUUCACCCCAAACUCUCUCUCUCUCUCUCUCAACCCUCUAUCUAGAUCGCCGGCGUGAAGAUCUCCUUCAAAUCCAAAAGGACGGCAGUUUUAUUAACCCUUGUUAAACUGGAAAGACGUUAGCGAGACAAAUUAGACCGACAUAUUUGCACAAUUUCUUCAGAAUCUGAAAUCAAAGACGUGUACGACACAAGCCCUUUUUUCACAAUCUCUCGCCCACAGAUUCUCAACUCAGAAGUAAGAUGAUUCCCAUCUCUUGAAGCAGAUCCUUAAAAGCUAUGGACUUGCAUUGGGGAGAAAAAAUCACUGAAUGAAUUGGUCGAGGACAAUAUGUUUCAUUGACUCUCAUAAAGAGCAAUGUAAGUUGAUAAUCUUUUGUCCGAGAAUAAAAGGAGCGUAGCGGCUGAAAAUGAUCAUUUUGUUAUAAAUCAUUUCAACAAGUUCCAACUCCUUGUAUUAUAGCCUAUAGGUUUCAUUUUCACAUGAGAUUGGGAAUCCGUUAGCCCAUGUAUUGCUUUCCAUGAAGAAUUUCAAUUGCAAUAUCCUUAUCUUUAUUUCAGAUAGUAUUCUUAAUUGUCA
RNAcentral lists this long non-coding RNA (664 nucleotides) under Olea europaea subsp. europaea. Lineage: Eukaryota; Viridiplantae; Streptophyta; Magnoliopsida; Lamiales; Oleaceae. The record is from RNAcentral.